UUUUUGCACAUACAAGCUCAAGAACAAAGAUUUUGGUACUAUACCCAGAAAGUCAGCGCAAAUGGAUCUCGGAAUCUAGGCCUAACGAGUAAUACGCGGAAAGGUGUGGAUUAGCAUACUUUGAUAGCCUAGUACUUGUGCAACCUGCAUAGCCACAUGGGGUACUUGGUUAUUGGUUGUGGUAACCAGGACACUACGUGACGACCCCCUUUGUGUUAGCUGCUUGUGAAGUUUAUGUGCGAUACUAUGUGGAUCUGCUACUUUGCUAAAUAAAACGGUUCAUGGAAACUCGCGUAGUAUCUAGCUAAAAUAUGUAACAGUAAUGUGUAAUAGCGAUACGUAAAACAAUGAUGUAUCAUAUUGUUUAAUUAAUGUUUAAUAGAGUAUCUU
This 390-nucleotide long non-coding RNA is filed under the name Helianthus annuus (common sunflower). RNAcentral describes it as "hypothetical non coding rna". The record is from RNAcentral. Lineage: Eukaryota; Viridiplantae; Streptophyta; Magnoliopsida; Asterales; Asteraceae.